GAUGAAGAACGUAGCGAAAUGCGAUACGUAAUGUGAAUUGCAGAAUUCAGUGAAUCAUCGAGUCUUUGAACGCACAUUGCGCCCCCUGGUAUUCCGGGGGGCAUGCCUGUCCGAGCGUCAUUGCUGCCCUCAAGCACGGCUUGUGUGUUGGGCCUCCGUCCUCCUCCCGGGGGACGGGCCCGAAAGGCAGCGGCGGCACCGCGUCCAGUCCUCGAGCGUAUGGGGCUUCGUCACCCGCUCUUGUAGGCCCGGCCGGCGCUUGCCGACACAUCAAUCUUUUUUCCAGGUUGACCUCGGAUCAGGUAGGGAUACCCGCUGAACUUAAGCAUAUCAAUAAUCGGAGGA
This 345-nucleotide unclassified non-coding RNA is filed under the name soil metagenome. Its description in RNAcentral is "partial contains 5.8S ribosomal RNA, internal transcribed spacer 2, and large subunit ribosomal RNA". The stretch from base 1 to 120 matches the Rfam family "5.8S ribosomal RNA", at positions 35 to 154 of the family's 154-position model. The record is from RNAcentral.